This is a non-coding RNA of Oryza sativa Japonica Group (Japanese rice), 761 nucleotides long. NCBI's taxonomy places the organism in Eukaryota, Viridiplantae, Streptophyta, Magnoliopsida, Poales, Poaceae. The record is from RefSeq and is a predicted model, not a curated record.
GCCAGGCCGUGGCGGCGUCGUUCUCGACUCCGGCGCCGCCGGAGGCUGAGCACCGUGGCGUCGCCGCUGCCGCCGCCGCCGCGGCUCUCCAGAUGAGGGGGGGGGGGGAGGGAGAGGCGGAUCAUAUCGGAGAUGGAGCGCACGGUGGUGGCCGGCGUCGAUCGGCUCAAUGCGAGCCACGGGGGCACUCUCCCGACUUCUCAUGGUCCCCGAUCCCCUCGCCCUCGCCGACCUGGGCGGCGCGUGUAUGGCAACGGCGGUGGCAGUCGGACUACCAUUACAACCAAACGAAACCAAUGCUGCUGCUGCUACUGCGGCAGGCAGCCUCCGAGCAGGUCGAGGUCCUCCCGGCUCCCGAGCUUUGCAAGGCCAAAGUCCGAAAUCUUUGGGCUGAAGCUGUGGUCUAGCAAAAUGUUGUGAGGCUUGAUAUCAAAGUGGAGGAUGCGCUGGCUGCACCCUUGAUUGAAUUAUUAGGCAUGAAUUCAUAAAUAAGAGCAUGCCUUGUUCCUUCGGAGCAAAAUCCCAAGAGGCGGACAACAUUGACAUGAUGGAUUCUCCCUAUGGUUGCUACUUCAUUGAUGAACUCUUCCCCCUCUCCUUUUGAGUUCUCAAGCAUCUUUACAGCAACAGGGUAUCAUGAUCUCUGUCGAAACCACUUUGCAGUAUAACGGGAGAAUUGACACAAAUGCAUAAGGGGCUACCAAGUACAGGGACUGGCUUGCAUUGCUGAGGCAAGAAAUCGGGCCAAAAAUGCUGUCUGU